Non-coding RNA from Cricetulus griseus (Chinese hamster), 95 nucleotides. NCBI's taxonomy places the organism in Eukaryota, Metazoa, Chordata, Mammalia, Rodentia, Cricetidae. The record is from Rfam.
UGGAAAGUUCAUUGUUCGACACCAUGGAUCUCCAGGUGGGUCACGUUUAGAGAUACACCAACCUGGAGGACUCCAUGCUGUUGAGCUGUUCACAA